UACGGAGGAUCCAAGCGUUAUCCGGAUUUAUUGGGUUUAAAGGGUGCGUAGGUGGUUCAUUAAGUCAGGGGUGAAAGACGGCAGCUUAACUGUCGCAGUGCCUUUGAUACUGAUGAACUUGAAUGAACUAGAGGUAGGCGGAAUGUGACAAGUAGCGGUGAAAUGCAUAGAUAUGUCACAGAACACCAGUGGCGAAGGCGGCUCACUGGCCCGAUACUGACGCUGAGGCACGAAAGCGUGGGGAGCAAACAGG
RNAcentral lists this ribosomal RNA (253 nucleotides) under uncultured bacterium. Its description in RNAcentral is "partial 16S ribosomal RNA". It matches the Rfam family "Bacterial small subunit ribosomal RNA", at positions 524 to 776 of the family's 1533-position model. The record is from RNAcentral.